AGCAGAGAGAGUGUGACAGUCCGGCUGAGGGGCAAAAACGAGUUUGUCUUGCGGAUUAUGUUUUAUUUUAAUAUCUAGUCUUGAUAAUUGUAAUCCCGUAAUCACUGGUCUCGCUGCUGUGUUGAUCUGAAAGUUUCAUCUUAUUUUGAUGGCUAAGAUUUUGCUCAUGACCUGUGAGCACUGCACGGGACACCUUCUUGAUGCAUCUCCAUAAUCUCAUCCUGCAGCUUCUCCAGUUAUCCCUUCCUGCAGUUAUCAAAACUGAGGUUACUGUGAAGCUUUAGCCCUGAUGAUUGACAAGAAAACAAUGUAAAGCGACCUGGCACCUAAAUGUGAGCUUUCCUAGAAGAGAAAGGAAAGAGGUACAUGUGGGUCCGGCUUCUCCACCCCAGUAGCUGAAUGCUGAGACCUAGCAAUAAACACAUUGCUGAACUGCUGACAAACCCUGCAAGCCUGAGAUUGCUUAAAAAAUCUUGGAAUUGCUGAGAGAGCUUUAGUGGAAGAAAUCUGCUUCUAUUUUUCCUAUCUGCCUCACUUUGAAUUUCUUAGCUGUAUUGCUUCCAUUUUAGAAACUCCUUAGAAGGGGUUGAUGGUAUUAUUUUUAAGCUUAAUCUCUUUGAAACUGGCUUUUGCUUACUUUAUCUGCACUGCUUUACCUUCGGGGCAUUGCUGCCCGUUCUCUCAAGGUGAAUACCUGCUUUUCGCUGAUACUGUUUCCUUCCGAAGAUUUUAACAAAAGCCCUGGUUUUUUUCUUACUUUUGACUUGAGGAUCCAUGCAUUAUCUCUGGCAGUGUCUACAUGUUGCUCCAUUUAGUUUGAAAGUGAAGGUACAUUACUAAGAUUUACAGAGUAUUUGAAUUCUCACAUAAAAACAAAAUACUUUUCAGAUGCAGUGUUUGGAAACAGAUCAUGCAUUCCUGUAAUGCCACUGAAGAUAAUCAAGCAGUUUGGUAGUGUGGAUGUGGGGAGUCAUCUUAAAAACAUUUUAUAUAACUCUUAACUCUCCUAGGGAGGGAAAAGAAGAAAAUUUACACAUUUUAGCCUUCAGGGGAAUUUUAUAUAUACAAAGUGUAAUUACUCAACUUGAAAUUUAUCCAGGAAGCUAGAAUUAACCACUUUCCUGUCACAAAAGAAUAUGUAAUAUAAAAUAUGUAAUAAAAAUGGUGAUAUACAACAAUUGUGAGUUUCAAUUUAAAAGUGAUAGACCAUGAUUGAAAAGCCAUUAUUUCAUGUGUGCUGUUGCUUGUUUUUCCCAAUUCCCUUCUCUAGCCAUUGUGUUGCCACUCUAUGCUCACCUCGUUCACUCUUCUGGACCCAGAGGCAACACAAGUGUUUUUUGACUGACCUGGAGGUUCUGCUGGGGAAUUUAAGGAAUCCUGUCCCUGCUCAUGGGUUCACGUGCAACAGCACCAACAUAUGCAUGCGGGCAAAUGCCCAUGAAAACUUAUUUUUAAAACAACAAUUGUUUCAAAAUACAGAAAUACCAUCUGUAAUUCAGCUGUUAAACUGUUCAGAAUUUGCAUUUCUAUUUCCGCGUAGAAAAUCCAGCACUAAUCCUGUGUUUUGACUUCAAGUGUCCGUAGAAGUAUCAGCUCUACUCAUGUGCUACCUGGAAACUCCGGUUUGCGUAAUUCGACAGGUGAACGAUACGACCCAGCAAAGACAUGGCUAUAGCCCAUUCAGAUCUCUAUAGGGAUAAAAAAGUCUGUCUCUAAUUCACCCGAAUAACCACUUCCUGCACACACAGUCGGUACUCCAAGCGCAUGGGAUGCCGCAGGUGGUGGGCAGCCCGCAGCGUUCCGAGACCGCCGAGGCGCUCGCUCCCCUGCCCGCCCGCGGGCUGCAGCCGGCGGACAUGGCCGUGCAGCACAGCCUUUUAAGGGAGAACAAUCUAUUCUGCCUUUGUCUUCCUCACUAAAUAGGGUGUUGCGGACAGAGACGCGAUCGCUAACUGGAUUUUUACUUCUCCUUGCAGUGCCUGAGGAGGAAAAUCCCCCUGCUCCCACCAUGUACUGGCGUUUCGGCUCCAGAUAAUAUUUUCUGCGCAUAAUAACUAACGCAGCCUGAGAGAACUUUGUCGGCACGGCGUGAAUUCGUCCACCUUUAAUCGGCGUUCAGGCGGAGAGCGGCUUCCCACCCCUGUGCAUGGGUUGGUGUGCCGCUCGAGAAUGGUUUGAUCUCUCCGCAGCUCAGCCAGCACUGCAUCGGAUUGCUUGGGAAGUCAGCGGGGCUGCCGGGUACCAGGAUAAAGUUCGUGGAAAGGCGUCAUUGCAAGAGGAGUGAGUACUGCACUAUGUGUUGCACGGAGGCUGCGGGGUUUGUUCAGUAACUGCGGGAUCGGUGGAGCACCGAGUAACCUUCUGACAGUGCACACAAGGAACCACAGUUGCAGCCAGUCACUUAUUCGUUUCCUGCUUGAGUGCCAUAAAACAUUUUCAGAAAUGGAAGGAGAAAAAGGGCAGAGUGCUAAAGCUACCAGUGCAGUGGGUGACCUGAGGAAAAGCUGGCAGACCUGGGCAGAGGAUCACAUUGAGUAUCAGAGGAAGAAUCCAUUCAGCAGUGAUGACAGGCUUGCAUCUAAACCUGCGCAUACUCACAGAGGAGAUCCUACCUACGGGAGACCCCCUGAAGGGUCUCGGACAGAGCAGAGAGGGAGAGAUGCUCACUCACACGUGGGUAAGGAAGUAGAAGAGCUGUGCUUGAUCAUCAGAAGAACUGGAGAGGUGGGAGAAGAUGGACACGUGAGAGUCACAUUCGGGCAGCUGUUUGAAACAUAUGUGACUAUUUCCAAUAAAGUAGUGGGAAUCUUGUUAAGAGCCAGAAAACAUGGUCUGGUUCAUUUUGAAGGUGAAAUGCUUUGGCAAGGAAAAGAUGAUGACGUAGUCAUCACUUUACUACAAUAAGGCUUUGUCCUGGAAUGAACUUUGCUGCAUAGUUCCAGUUGGAAAAACAUAUCUAGAUACCAUCUUCACAGGUUUUGGUUACAGAAUUUCAACUCAGCUACCUACUGGGACAAGCAGGAAAGGAAAUGGGCAAAAAGGAUAUUUUUGUAAAAAUGGUAGAGAUUUGGACAGAAAUUGCAGAUUAUGAGCUACUCUAUCAUGCUGACAUUGGAUUGUUCUUAUUGUCAUCUACUAGCAAAUAUAUGAGUGUUCUUCAAAUAACUAUGCUGGCCGACUGCUCUUAGGUUACUAAAAGUAUAAAUUACUAACUUGCUGUGCUACACCACUGAUUCCUGCAGUUUGUGAAAUACUGCGUGGGAGAGUGGGAUUUGUAAAACAUGGAAUUGAAAACUCUUGUGGGAAUUCAUAUACUUCUUUAAAAAAAGAGCCUGGUAUAUAGCAAAAAAUUUGGGUUCCAUCUCACAUAGUUAAACUGAAUAAAUGAAAGUUAUUUUCAUGAAGUAGAUAGAAAUUCCCAAACUUACAAAAAUAUCACAGCAAGGGUACUUGAUGGUUUCUGAAUUAGUUGCAUCUUGCUUGGAUUUUGGACAGCUGCACUGGUUUUGGUAUUUAAUAGGCUAAUCUUACAAUCAUGUCUUCUCCAAACCUUCUGUGUCUCUUGUUCUUUUUGUUUUCUAUCUCACACCAAUUUUUUCCCAUUCUUCUAAUGCUUCAUAAGUCCACAAAGCUCUGGAGCCUUUUCAGUGAAAUCAGCUAUACCACUUCAGAGAAGGUAGGGUGCCCCUAUGUGAAGAUGCAAGUCAGCAGUCGCUCUGUAUUGGGGCACCUGUGCAUUCAUAAGGAUAAAAAAAAAGGCUGUUCUUUCACCAAAAUGUAGCAAUGUUUUUUACAAGAGGAGAGUAGAGAUACUGUAGUGCCAAAUGCAUAAAUGAGAGUAUUGCAGCAGUCCCAUACCUCAUUUACCUGCUUUCAGAGCACAGUUGUGAGCUCUUCAGAAGGAAAAAGAAAAGGAUUGGUUAUAUAACAUAGUUGUGAUAGUGCUGUGAAAAAUAAUCAGGAGCUGUAUUUACAAUAGUUCCCACCAAUAAAGCUGUAUAAUUAGAAAUCUAAAGUUCUAUUUUUUAGCAGUGCAAAUAGAAGCUUCUGUGUGGUGUUAACUACACUACUUGAUGAGUCUUUAAGAGACUGUUCUUGCAUCAAAAGGAUAUUAAAAUUUAAUAUAAAUUAGGAACUUGAUAAAAGUGAUGUGUUAUUUUAUGAUAUUUAUAUAAAAGAACUUCUGUUGCAAAAAGCCUAAAAGAAUGGGGUUUGUUUUGAUGUUUUCAUCCAAUGGGGAUUUGCACCAAACUAAGUCUCUGGCUGAGGAUUUCAUUAUUUUCCUGCCUCCUUUUUUCUUUUUCUGGUGAAAGGACAAUGAAAAGAGAAAAAAAAAGGAAUAAAUUAAUGCGCUGAAAUCAGUAUAUCUGGGGAACAGGGCAGUCAGGUGCAGGUAGAGAAUGGAUUUUAAUCACCACAUAAUUUUACCACAUUGGAAAAGGGGGAAUAUGCACUGCACCAGGCACUGUUAGUGUGCUCCCUUAGCUUUCAGAGCGAACAUACUGCUUCUUUCUAAACAGAUCUACAUCUUGCAGCUGAAAAAGAAGUAGAUGUAGUUUGUGAUCUUAACAUAUUUACAGUGCUUUUUUCUUUUUGAAAAAGCAUUGUUUGCCAAAUGACAUGAGCACACUUCAUUUUUCAGCUCAUAUUAGAGGAAGUCUUUACGUCCAUCAGAUUUCAACACAAAUUGAACUUUUUAUAGUUCAGUUGUGGAAUGAGUUUUGUUUAAUUCUAACAAUUCUGAAAUCCACUCAGUUCUGCUGUAGUGUUAGUUCAUAACUUGCAGGAAGCAGCAUCAGGCAUUCCAAGUGUCACCAGCUGACUAAUGGGAUGGCACUAUCAGGAAAAAUAAUACAUUGCUGGACAUUGUACAAAUAAUUAAUUGCACGACACACAUGCGAGGUGGUAUGCAGCCUGAGCACCAUAAGAUGCAAGUCCAGCUCACAUAAAUUUACUACAUUUUAAUUAAGGCUGGCUCAAAUAGUUGAAUAUCAGCAAUCUAGGCUGUCACUGCCAUAUAAGUGGUAGAUGCUUGAGCACAUCAACAAACACUUUUUAAGGACACCUCUGAUCAAAACAGAAGCAGAGCAAACCCUUAAUGACAUGUCCUUACCUACUUUGUAAAUGACUAAACAAUGCUUCUCUAUUAUUAUAUUUUUAAAAGAACCAAGGAUUACUAUAUAACAAAACUAUUAUUUAUAGAGGGAUUUUUUUAAGCAGUUACAGAGCCAGCCUGCUAGCUUUAGAUGAGCAUUCUGGAAAACGUGACUGAAAUCUGCGUGCCCAUGCAAUGAUUAUAAACACUGAGCUGCCAAACUGGCUCAGCACACAGGUUGACAAAUCCAGUCUUGUGCUUCCAGCAAUAGCCAGCAUUUCAAAAAAAAGACUAAAAGAUAGAUAAUAGAACUAGUCAGCUUGCCCACUGGUACACUCUAGAAUAAAAAAUUACUCCUGAAGUCUAGUCAUGAAUGCAUUAUAUCUAAUGCACAUGACUCAGUUCAGCUACAAGUUUUACAAAAUUAUGCUUUAUCUGUGAUUAGACUAACAUCUACAGAUUAAAUAGGAAUUUAGACUUUUCAACACGCAACUUGUUUUUUUCAGCAGGCUCCCAUUAGAGUAAAUGGAACAGAAUUUAUUAAAUUGUUUUUGCAAAAAUUGUAGCAUGUAAGGGGUUUUAGUAUUACAGAUUAUUUGGAGUAGUAAGUAAACCCCAGACUUUUUAAAAGGUGUUCUUGCCCUACUAAGCAUCUUUCAGCUGUUUAAAUCUCUCCUAAACUUCACUUUGUGACAGAUUACAUCAGUGGUCUUUGCCCUCCUUCCACUUCAAGUCUGUAAACUCUGCAUCUGGUUUGGACUGUAUAUCAUAGAGGGAUUAUCUGUGUUUUGUCAAACACUGAAGGCAUGUCACCAUUUCAAUAAAUGUUGCACAUUAGUUUGAAAUGACAAGAGUUUUUAUGCAGCAUUUUAUUGUGUACAAGUUUCUUAAAUUUCAAAUACAAUUUUCACGGGUUUGCUCUCAUUACCAAUUCAAGCACAAUUUCUUUUUAUUUUUAACAGCAUUUUAUGUGUAUGUUUCAUCCUUUCAGCAUAAAAGCAUUAUUCUCUGAGUUCUUGUUAGGUUGGGAGUUUAUGUAAAACAAUUGAGCAAAACAGUACAAAUAAAGCUUUGUCAUUCCUAAACAUGAGGUCAAAAAAGCAGCUUUUCUCAAGACGGCUAAUACUGGAUCAAAGAACAGAGCCAGCAGCAGUAGCUAAACAGCUUUCCUUUGCUUCUCCAGGCCCUUGGAGAGUAAGAGCUGCUGAGUUCAUGCUCCUUAUUGAUCUUUGCUCCUUAGAAAGCUCUACAGAUGGUUUUGGAAGUUUUAAAAUUACUAAAAGCUUCUAUAGAAGAGAGUGACAAAGUUAACAGGAUCUGCCCACUGUCUCUUCCAGGGGCUAGCCAGUAAUUCAGUACUAUAUUGGAAGUAUUAGGUUAGGUUUUUCAGAAAGUAUUUCUUCACCUAAUUAAAACAAUUAUCUUCAGAGUCCAAGAAUACUUGUCAAUGCAGAAGGACAACAGACCACAGUUCUGAGCUGAAAAACACUAAUGAGAGGCUGAGCAUUCCUCUCAGUAAUUAGUGUGCCUCUGUUUAAUGCUUUGCUGCUUCAGCUGUUCUGAGCCCUAUCUGUUGCUGUCAGGGAACAUGGGAUAUCCCCAUCUUUCUCAUCAGCAAAACUCUGGAAGUGACAUUAUACCAAAUUUUUACCUUUUCAGUCUUGUCCUUAGUGGGGCUGUUCUCCAACACUAAGACAUAAACGUUGGCCUUUGUGCUUUCAUAUACAUUUGGCAACAUACAGAGUCUGGCUGGGAUGGAGGUAACUUCCUUCAGAGCCUCCCAGGUUUUGGGUGUGACUGGAAGUGCUGGUAACACAGCAGUUCUGGUGAUUGCUGAGCAGUGCAUGGACAAUGUCAGGGCCUUCUUUCUCCUGCUCUGCCCUCCCUCAGUGGGCAACAAGCUUCGAAAGAACACAACCUGCACACCUGACACAGACUGGCCAGCAGGGAUAUUCCAUGACAUAUAAUGUCUGGAAUAAAAGCUGAAAAGCGGACUUUUUUUGGGUUGUGGGAGUUGUUGCUAUUGGCCGGCCUGUGGGAGGUCAUGAGUGAUUACCUUUGCUUUUUUCUUUAUCUUUCCUUCACAUAUUAAACUCAACCCAUGAGUUUUUUCAUUUUGUUCUUUCUGUUCUCCCACCCCACUGGGUUAAGUAAUGAAGAGUGAGCAAAGAGCUAUCUAGGAUCAACCCUGAGUCAUCAACUAUUCAACUGCACUGGAAAAUCAUCCCAAGAUAAGCAUUUAUUAAUCCUUUUUGACAACAGUUCAUGUUGAUAUUUAAAAUAUUACAUGUCACAUAAAUUAAUUACAGAUCAGAACACAUACACUUUAACUCCUGAAAGUUCUUAAUGUACAGGUAUUUCACUAAUUCAGGAGCCAGCUCAAAUCUCUUCAUCUAUUGCACAGUCAAAGUUUGGUGGCUUUAAGUCACACUUUUCCUACCAAACGUAACAAAUUAAAACCCCAAAGGGCUGCAAAUAAAACGCAAGUGCCCACUAAUACAUAUAACAAGACAUUAGGAAGAAGAUCUUACAGACAGAAAGGUACAAACUCUGCCAGGUAGAAAAUGCAGUUCUUCAGAAGGGGGUAUAUUCUCAGAAGUACUGUAAGAAUAUUACAACACAUUGUAUCACUAAGGCAACAGGUGCUGGAUCCAUGGAAAACACAGACUGUUAUGUUCAGGGAAGCUUGCAGGUGCAACAAAUGUUCUCACCUCAGCUGCAUCUGAAUGCAUCAGGCAAGGGCACUUGGUUAGCUCGGCACCAAGACAAGCUCUGUGAACAGAGAAAAUCCACUCCAUGUGUUCUGGAGUUUUAACUUGCCAAACAGUCUGCCUUAUUAUGGUACUGAAAAACAAGUGCUAGCAUUCCUGAUUAGAGUCAUGCAGCAAAGGCAAAUGUUCAACAGGUUCCUUAAGCAACUUGGCAUGUUCCAGUUUUGGGCUGAGUCCCUCCUAUCCCAAAGUCAAAUCACAUUGCUGUUAUGUAAGUCUGCCACACGCGCGCACACACACACACACACACACACACACACACACACACACACACACAGAG
This is a long non-coding RNA of Serinus canaria (Common canary), 8146 nucleotides long. RefSeq lists it as uncharacterized. The transcript has 3 exons. Lineage: Eukaryota; Metazoa; Chordata; Aves; Passeriformes; Fringillidae. The record is from RefSeq and is a predicted model, not a curated record.